RNAcentral lists this ribosomal RNA (253 nucleotides) under uncultured bacterium. RNAcentral describes it as "partial 16S ribosomal RNA". It matches the Rfam family "Bacterial small subunit ribosomal RNA", at positions 524 to 776 of the family's 1533-position model. The record is from RNAcentral.
UACGGAGGGUGCGAGCGUUAAUCGGAAUUACUGGGCGUAAAGCGUGCGUAGGCGGCUGUCUAAGUUGGGUGUGAAAGCCCCGGGCUCAACCUGGGAACUGCAUCCAAAACUGGGCAGCUAGAGUGCGGAAGAGGAGUGUGGAAUUUCCUGUGUAGCGGUGAAAUGCGUAGAUAUAGGAAGGAACACCAGUGGCGAAGGCGACACUCUGGUCUGACACUGACGCUGAGGUACGAAAGCGUGGGGAGCAAACAGG